CGAGCUCCUCGCAAUUUGUAGGUCACAAAGUUCCGAGUGACCGCUGGUGUAGAGUGUAAGACACUAUCACUUGCAGGCCACACACACACACACAUGCGCACACACAAACAAGAGGUGCAUACCUGUGCACACACUCCUCCCCUCAUUUAAAAUUCAACUACGGCAAUACUAAAAAAAAAAAAUUUUUUAAAAAGGGACCUUUGUUCAUGUUUAAAUGGAGGGUGAGCGUCUUAUUUUUGUGAUUUCGAGACAUAAUAUUCCAAGCUAACAUUAGCUUUGAAUUAGCGCGGGAUCUUCACCCACCUUGGCCCGUGACGGCCGCAGCUAGCGCGUGGCCGAGUAGUAAGCGUCUUGACAAUAGCAAGUGCCUUCUUUAAACAUGGAUGAGGCCACCCCGCCGUAUUUUGCUCCACUCGCCUUAGAGAAGCAGCUCGGGUCCGUGUCAAUAAUUCAACAAGGCGAGUAGAAGAAGCUUGAACGUCCAAAGAGGGACGGUGAAACGGGAACACAUUUUAAACGUGGAACUGAGGUGUGCUAUUCUAUACUCUUCUUCUGGAGUUGGUAUUUUCUGCACGGCUGUGCAACCAUGCUAAGCCACAAAGCCACUCAGGACAGACAUUCAUCGGCGGGGCCGCCAGAUGAUAGAUGCUGCUCACCGCCGCUCCGGCAGCCGGUUAAGCCUCAGAUGAUGCCUCAUGCAUACAGAUAUCACCGGGCUACCAAGGGCUUGGGUGUGCGCUGGUGUGUGUCGGAGAACAUGCGCACACACACAGUCCAAAUGUGGAACUCAACCAAAAUUUUCCUGGAAAUAAAAUUGUUCCAUCAAAAUCA
Long non-coding RNA from Syngnathus acus (greater pipefish), 831 nucleotides. RefSeq lists it as uncharacterized. NCBI's taxonomy places the organism in Eukaryota, Metazoa, Chordata, Actinopteri, Syngnathiformes, Syngnathidae. The record is from RefSeq and is a predicted model, not a curated record. The transcript is spliced from 2 exons.